Pelobates cultripes (western spadefoot toad) is the source of this 537-nucleotide non-coding RNA. The record is from the annotation of a GenBank genome assembly. NCBI's taxonomy places the organism in Eukaryota, Metazoa, Chordata, Amphibia, Anura, Pelobatidae.
CUAUUCCCUGACCUCACCAAGAAGACAUUACUCUGGCGCAGGUCAAUGAAACCACUACUCCAAAUCCUGAGAGCCCAGGACGUGCCUUACCGCUGGGGAAACCCCAGACAACUCAUACUCACUCACCAGGGAGGCACUUACAGAGCCAAGAACCCUCUGGAACUAGAGGCCAACAUGCGCAGCCUGAAGCUACUACCGGAACAAGACUCAACCUCCCGCCUCCGAAACCUGGACCCGUCUAAGAUCCCGACCUUCGCGCCACGGUCAACCACAGGACGCCCGCCUGCACUCCUAGCCACUUGACUGGCCCAAGACACACAGUUCAUCUGCAGCGACCAACAAGCCAGAAGGAAAACCAGAUCAUACAGAAGAACUGCGUACUAACAGUAUUAUAACUCUCUUACGUUAUUUUUGAUGGUUAUUAUUACCCGCUGCUGCGCUCCCACUUAUACCUAACUACCCUUCUCCCCUCUGUAAUGUAGCUGUUACCUCAACGGGGAGUUGAAACACCCCGACCUAGACGCUAUCCUGACAAAC